Macrobrachium nipponense is the source of this 548-nucleotide long non-coding RNA. RefSeq lists it as uncharacterized. The transcript is spliced from 3 exons. Lineage: Eukaryota; Metazoa; Arthropoda; Malacostraca; Decapoda; Palaemonidae. The record is from RefSeq and is a predicted model, not a curated record.
CCGUGGGGAAAAGCGGGAGUGGGUCAGACUCAAACGGUCAGACCCUGGCCGGGCCGGCAGUCAUCCAUAGAACUUGAGUGUGUGAGAAGCAAGAGAUACGUGAAACGAAAAGUGAAAGAAUCCGGACUUCUUUCUCUCUGCCUUGAGGCGGCAACUGGAAUUGACGUCAGAAGAAAACUGGAAAAGUGAUGGAAUCCGGACUUCUCUCUGCCUUGACGUGGCAACUGGAGCGACCCCAAAAGAAAACUGGGUAAUUAGAUUCCUUCCAGUUUUCAUUCCUUUUGGUCAUCCUGCUGCUCACCGCCCACUAUUAGCUAAUUCGAUUAUAUUACCUUUAUUGUUACCAUAUCUAAACAUUUGUAAGUAUUCGAAUGUAUUGCCAUUGUUGUAAGGGAUGAGAUUUCAUACAUAGCAUAAACGAAACAACCGUUGGCCAAUUUGAUGUAAACUGCUCUCUUUCUCUCUCUCUCUGUCUUUCUCAGUGGACUUGUUUUAAACCUGUUAUACUUCAUCUGCGGGACCAUUGUGGAAAUACAAUAUAUAUAUAU